UUGAAGAGUUUGAUCAUGGCUCAGAUUGAACGCUGGCGGCAGGCCUAACACAUGCAAGUCGAACGGUAGCACAGAGAGCUUGCUCUCGGGUGACGAGUGGCGGACGGGUGAGUAAUGUCUGGGAAACUGCCUGAUGGAGGGGGAUAACUACUGGAAACGGUAGCUAAUACCGCAUAACGUCGCAAGACCAAAGAGGGGGACCUUCGGGCCUCUUGCCAUCAGAUGUGCCCAGAUGGGAUUAGCUAGUAGGUGGGGUAAUGGCUCACCUAGGCGACGAUCCCUAGCUGGUCUGAGAGGAUGACCAGCCACACUGGAACUGAGACACGGUCCAGACUCCUACGGGAGGCAGCAGUGGGGAAUAUUGCACAAUGGGCGCAAGCCUGAUGCAGCCAUGCCGCAUGUAUGAAGAAGGCCUUCGGGUUGUAAAGUACUUUCAGCGGGGAGGAAGGUGUUGUGGUUAAUAACCGCAGCAAUUGACGUUACCCGCAGAAGAAGCACCGGCUAACUCCGUGCCAGCAGCCGCGGUAAUACGGAGGGUGCAAGCGUUAAUCGGAAUUACUGGGCGUAAAGCGCACGCAGGCGGUCUGUCAAGUCGGAUGUGAAAUCCCCGGGCUCAACCUGGGAACUGCAUUCGAAACUGGCAGGCUAGAGUCUUGUAGAGGGGGGUAGAAUUCCAGGUGUAGCGGUGAAAUGCGUAGAGAUCUGGAGGAAUACCGGUGGCGAAGGCGGCCCCCUGGACAAAGACUGACGCUCAGGUGCGAAAGCGUGGGGAGCAAACAGGAUUAGAUACCCUGGUAGUCCACGCCGUAAACGAUGUCGACUUGGAGGUUGUGCCCUUGAGGCGUGGCUUCCGGAGCUAACGCGUUAAGUCGACCGCCUGGGGAGUACGGCCGCAAGGUUAAAACUCAAAUGAAUUGACGGGGGCCCGCACAAGCGGUGGAGCAUGUGGUUUAAUUCGAUGCAACGCGAAGAACCUUACCUACUCUUGACAUCCAGAGAACUUUCCAGAGAUGGAUUGGUGCCUUCGGGAACUCUGAGACAGGUGCUGCAUGGCUGUCGUCAGCUCGUGUUGUGAAAUGUUGGGUUAAGUCCCGCAACGAGCGCAACCCUUAUCCUUUGUUGCCAGCGGUCCGGCCGGGAACUCAAAGGAGACUGCCAGUGAUAAACUGGAGGAAGGUGGGGAUGACGUCAAGUCAUCAUGGCCCUUACGAGUAGGGCUACACACGUGCUACAAUGGCGCAUACAAAGAGAAGCGACCUCGCGAGAGCAAGCGGACCUCAUAAAGUGCGUCGUAGUCCGGAUUGGAGUCUGCAACUCGACUCCAUGAAGUCGGAAUCGCUAGUAAUCGUAGAUCAGAAUGCUACGGUGAAUACGUUCCCGGGCCUUGUACACACCGCCCGUCACACCAUGGGAGUGGGUUGCAAAAGAAGUAGGUAGCUUAACCUUCGGGAGGGCGCUUACCACUUUGUGAUUCAUGACUGGGGUGAAGUCGUAACAAGGUAACCGUAGGGGAACCUGCGGUUGGAUCACCUCCUU
This 1536-nucleotide ribosomal RNA is filed under the name Enterobacter kobei. RNAcentral describes it as "bacterial SSU rRNA". It matches the Rfam family "Bacterial small subunit ribosomal RNA". The record is from RNAcentral. Lineage: Bacteria; Pseudomonadati; Pseudomonadota; Gammaproteobacteria; Enterobacterales; Enterobacteriaceae.